GCUCACUUCUGCCGAGCUUAUACUAAAAUCAGAAGGGUACAGAGAAGAAGGGCAUGGCCCCGGGCAAGAAUGACGCGCAAAUUUAUUAAGCAUUCCAUGAUUAA
This is a small nuclear RNA of Psammomys obesus (fat sand rat), 104 nucleotides long. NCBI's taxonomy places the organism in Eukaryota, Metazoa, Chordata, Mammalia, Rodentia, Muridae. The record is from RefSeq and is a predicted model, not a curated record.